UUGCUGGGUGGAUUAGUGGCGAACGGGUGAGUAACACGUGAGUAACCUGCCCUUAACUCUGGGAUAAGCCUGGGAAACUGGGUCUAAUACCGGAUAGGAGCGCCNACCGCAUGGUGGGUGUUGGAAAGAUUUAUCGGUUUUGGAUGGACUCGCGGCCUAUCAGCUUGUUGGUGAGGUAAUGGCUCACCAAGGCGACGACGGGUAGCCGGCCUGAGAGGGUGACCGGCCACACUGGGACUGAGACACGGCCCAGACUCCUACGGGAGGCAGCAGUGGGGAAUAUUGCACAAUGGGCGNAAGCCUGAUGCAGCGACGCCGCGUGAGGGAUGACGGCCUUCGGGUUGUAAACCUCUUUCAGUAGGGAAGAAGCGAAAGUGACGGUACCUGCAGAAGAAGCACCGGCUAACUACGUGCCAGCAGCCGCGGUAAUACGUAGGGUGCGAGCGUUAUCCGGAAUUAUUGGGCGUAAAGAGCUCGUAGGCGGUUUGUCGCGUCUGUCGUGAAAGUCCGGGGCUUAACCCCGGAUCUGCGGUGGGUACGGGCAGACUAGAGUGCAGUAGGGGAGACUGGAAUUCCUGGUGUAGCGGUGGAAUGCGCAGAUAUCAGGAGGAACACCGAUGGCGAAGGCAGGUCUCUGGGCUGUAACUGACGCUGAGGAGCGAAAGCAUGGGGAGCGAACAGGAUUAGAUACCCUGGUAGUCCAUGCCGUAAACGUUGGGCACUAGGUGUGGGGACCAUUCCACGGUUUCCGCGCCGCAGCUAACGCAUUAAGUGCCCCGCCUGGGGGAGUACGGCCGCAAGGGCUAAAACUCAAAGGAAUUGACGGGGGGCCCGCACAAGCGGCGGAGCAUGCCGGAUUAAUUUCGAUGCAACGCGAAAAAACCUUACCAAGGCUUGGACAUGUUCCUC
This 909-nucleotide ribosomal RNA is filed under the name Micrococcus sp. RNAcentral describes it as "bacterial SSU rRNA". It matches the Rfam family "Bacterial small subunit ribosomal RNA", at positions 80 to 994 of the family's 1533-position model. The record is from RNAcentral. Lineage: Bacteria; Bacillati; Actinomycetota; Actinomycetes; Micrococcales; Micrococcaceae.